This is a long non-coding RNA of Triticum aestivum (bread wheat), 3191 nucleotides long. RefSeq lists it as uncharacterized. Lineage: Eukaryota; Viridiplantae; Streptophyta; Magnoliopsida; Poales; Poaceae. The transcript is spliced from 3 exons. The record is from RefSeq and is a predicted model, not a curated record.
ACUUUCUCGGUCUCUCCAGGACACUAUCACUUUGCUUUCUCCACUCCUCACUUCUUCCUCCGCCAGCCGCCUCCUCUGCAGCAGGCCGCAUCCUCUCCUGGCACAACGUCGGCCGGCGCCCUCACCCCCUCCCACCCCACACCACCACCACCACCACGCCCACUAGGGCCUCGCCCCUCCCCGCUGUCCCUUAUCCCCAUCACGGCCUCGCCUCGCCCCCUCCUCUCACCACCGCAGCCUUGCGUCGCCUCCAACCCCGCUGAUCUUCCCUAGAUCGACUUUGCCGCCUCCAUCCUACUGCCCCAAAGGAGAUCGAGAUGCGAGCUGGUUGACACAGUGCAGGAGCAGUCAUACCAAAUUGGAUUGAGAUCCAGUGCGUGGACGCGCCCACCAUAACCAUCGCCCCCCGUGCUUGGCUCAAACAGUCGCUCAACAGGUCGAGUUCGCGGCUCGCACACGUGCUCUACAGGAUCAGUCUGAUCUCUCUGUCGCCGGUGUUGUCAUAAUGGCUUGUAAUCGACCAGACUACUUGUAGAGGACAGUUGAAUCUAUCCUCAAGUAUCACAAAGCGGUUGCUUCAAAGUUCCCACUAUUUAUAUCAUAGGAUGGUACAAAUGGAGAAGUAAAAAAAGGUCCAGAGUUAUACCCAAAUAACAUUUAUGUAGGUGUGGAAAAGAAACACAUGCUCUAAGCUCAAUUGCCUAAUAGUAUAACAGUUUGAAGCCCUUUAUAUGCACGGGCAUUUUUACCUCGUCCUCUAUAGUUUGAAGCCCUUCCGAGCCGGGUGUUUGUGCCAAUUCCUUGUUCUCAACGGCCACCAUUUGUUGACUUGUUCGUUGUCGGUUAAUUUCUGAGAACAAUAUUAAAAGAAUUACCCGUAUGUAGGAUAUAAUAUAAUUAGAAUGAUUUUGGAAAUAGUUGGAAAAGAAAAGUCACCUGUGUAUGUUCAGAAUCUUUGGUCUCUCUAUUUGCUAUGUUUUCUUUAAGAAUAGGUGUAUAUUGUGGGCUCUACGCGUAAUUAUUUUCCUGCACUUCAUUAUUGUUGAGUAUUUCACUUGAUUCGUCAUCACUCGGUAGCUGAAACAUAUGGUAGUAUAAUAUUAUAACAGAGAGAAUAUCUUUUUGAUAUGAUAUUGUAAUAAUUUUUUUACAAAGUGAUCUGUGGCGUUAGAAUUAGAAUAGUAAUGAAAUGUGGAAAGAAAACUUGCCUCUGUCGAUUCGGCGAUUGUAUCUCCAUCCUUGGUUCUCACAGCAUCAAAAAGCAUGUUUAGUGGACCCUCCGUAAUGGACUCUUGUGUAGCCUUUGUGGACUCGGGAUCUGUAUCCUCCUGUAUGGUUAUCAGCUCAUCAAUCUGCAUAUUCUAUGUAUCCUCCAUAAUAUAUUCUUCUUGUAUCGCCUCUGCCGACUCAGUGUUUGUAUCCUCGUCUUUCUUUAUCACCUCUUCAAUCUGCAUCUUAUCUAUAUCCUCAUCCUUUGCUACCUUCUUGAUGUUUUCCUGAAAACCCAAGCAUGACACUUUUAAAUAGGAAACCUUGCAUAGGAAGAAGAGAGAUAUAAAGUGUCUUUACCGUGUUUCUAUACAAGACAACUCGAGCAAUAGUUGUUUUUACUCUGUAUGGCAGUUAAUAUGAGCCACAAUUGAUUACCAUAUGAACUGUUGCCUCUGUAGGAUUGAAGUGGUGGUCGUAACACAGGCAGUUGGGAGGACCCAAUGGCAUAGUCGAUAUUACUGACAUUUUCCUUGUUUCUAUCUGGUGUUCUUAAUGAAUUUGGACAAGAAGUGGAGUCUGGUCCCUCACUAUCACAUCAACAGGUAUGCCUACAUCAUAAUUGUAUGUACAAUGUUAGUUGUUGACCCACAGAUGCUGGUAUUAUGGUUGGAUGUAGGAGAACACAUGACCUUUCGCAGGUGGUGUGUGUCGUUGCUGGGUGACAGCAGACUGCGCACUGGGCCUCUCCACAGUGUCAAAACAUGUCCAAAAGAACACUUAAUUAACAUGAUUUUACAUGUGAUUCAUGAAUAUAUGAUAGAAAAUAGAGAAAAUGGAGUAACCAGGCGACAUGGCCCCGGGUGGCUUAGAUGUAGUGUUGAUUCCAUUUAGGAUAGCAGCGGUAGCUUUCUUACAAUCCCUUGCCUCAUGUCUUUCCUUUAAUAUUGCAUCCUUGUUUAGUGCAUACCUCUCUUUUUCCCUCUGUCUCUUCAGCUCUUUUGGAUCUGAUUUUUGACCUGCGAGACAAUGACAUAUUCUGGAUUUACAAGAUCUAAGUAGGUAAGAGUAGGUAAUAUAUGUAUUUACCUGAAUUGAUGUUGUUCGUCGGGUCCUGAAAGGGAGUACGUACCCCAGUACACUGAGAGGAUGCCAUAUUGUUUUCUCAAUGGUUCUUUUUGUGAAACACUUAUUCAAUCCUUCGUCAACUCAGUUUGUUCAUGAUGUACUGUAAGUAUCAAAUUUCACAAUACAAAUUACAGUCUGUUAGAUUAAAAGAGCAAUUUCGUUUGUCUUUUGUCAGAUCAUAAGACGUGCAAAUUAAAUUGAUCUAACAGGUGCACUGGCAGGUCGAGAAGUUGCAGGCCACACAGGGUAAUGCCACCGGAGGUAGGGCAGCGCGCCGGGUUGAGGACCUCGCAGACAGGGCGAGGGCGGCGUGGCGAGGAUGGCGGGGCGAGGAGAGAUAGGGCAGCAAGGCGGGUCGAGAGCGUCGUGGACACCAGCGGCGAGGGCGGCUGGCCGAGGCAAGAUUCGUGGCGUGAUGCCGGCGGCGUUGAUCAUGGAGGUUUGUGGCGUGGUGUCGGCUUUGAUUGCGGAGGCACCGUUUAAUUCCCUCGAGGUAUCAUCGUUGGGCUCUGUAGCAUCCUGAACGGGGGAGUCUGCCGGCAGAACAUUUGUGUUCAACCGUAGAUCUGAUUGCACUAUGGUGGAUGUAACGUAGACAGUUGGAUGCAACUAAGUGGGUCUGAUCGGACGUAGGGGUUAUCUUGUGUGCACUUUAUGGGGUGGACGUAAGAGAAGUCAUGUUUGGUCUUUUAAUAGUAGUAUAGAUAGAUUAGAUCCCUAUUGUAUAGUUUUUGGAUGUAGUUUUUUCUAGUGCAGCAUCCAUUUUUUAGAACCAGAAUUUUCUUUUCUUUUUUUAGAUGUGUGUACGCGCACGCAUUUUUGUAUAGAACAAGCAUCCAUAUCUUUUUUUUCUA